AGCCACGUUAUACUGUCGAAAUUUUAUUAAAAUUGGUGGGUUAGUCACUGCAGUGACGGGUUUCCGUGGACUGCCUAUUAGAAGGGCACGGUAAACCCAGUUAUAUAGUUACUCCGGUUGUAGAGGCGAGGAGGGUAACUCUCGGGGUAGUAUUAGAGCUCACUUCACGUCGAACCCCCACGUGAAUGUGUAACUCGGCCAACGCUAAGGAACGGCUGGUUUUAAAAAAAAAAUGUGUUUCACGUGUGAAUAUUUUAACACCCUUGGCGGACUCGGUUAGAUACCUCGGCCAAGGUAUCCCCGAGGAUUAGUUUUGGCUUGAGUCUUGUUUUAAUAAAAGACAUAAGCCUUAACAACUGUUUUGGUAAAUUACAAAUAUUUUAUGGUUUAAGAAAUAAAUUGGAAACAUUAUGAAAUGGGUUGAAAUUUGUUGUUUAAACUUGCCUCCAUUUUACUCGCCUUUAGAUAUUUAUGAUAAUGUCUGUUUACUCAUUGGGAUUGCAAAAUCUCACCCAACUCCUUUCCACCCAUUUCAGGUUCAAUAUAGACUGUAGAUAGCUGAUCUCAUCGAAGACUACCAUUGGAUCUGCAUUUUCCAAACCGUAAGUUCACAGUCCUCUUUACUUUUGUUUAUUCGGGGGCCCUCUUGUUAUUGUAAAUUAAAUUAAAUAUUUUGGCUUACUGUAUUUCAGUAUGUAUAAAUUUAUUUAGCUUUUACGCUAUAAAAAUUAUUCACGUAUAACUCUAUAAAUAUUGUUUUAUAAGAAAAUAGAAUAUUUUCCUUAAUAUUUUUUUUUUCUUAUUAUAUUCAAAUAACCGUAAUUUCGUUUUAAAUGAAGAUUUUAGCCUUUUAAACUCAUUUUGAAUAUGAAUUAUGUGUUUUGUACUUGUAUAUUACAUUUUAGCCAGUUUCAAAAUUUUUGAGAAAAAAAUGACCAAAAUACCCCUGUGUGGCAAAAAUUUUAUUUUGAUUAUUUUUGAUCUAAAAUAGUAUAUAUUCUCUAAAAACUCGAUAUUUAACAAUGAUUGCUCACAGGAAAGGAAAGAAACUGAUAUGUAAGCCUUGUGGGGUUCCGGUUGGCAAUCCGGAUAAUGAGUGUCAAUCGGGACGUCGCGGCGAUUGUCAUGGGCCUGAGGGAGGUUCCGGGUCGUGACAAUUUCUACCUUUCCUAUGCCUUUGUUCCAUUUAGCAUGCUUGAGGAGAGAAAUCAAAAAGUGAUACCAAGGGCUGGCCGAAUUUCAAGGGGGAGGAUUUUGAAUUUUUUUUGUUUUGAUUCUUAGUUAAAUUGGUAGUUUUAGUUAGUUAAAUGUGUAUAGAAAUCAAAUUGGGCAAGAAAGCAUAAAAUUCUCACAAUACCCACCCUUGGCCGAAUAUUCAAUGAUGUACAAUGAUGAUGAACUGACUUUUAUUCUAAGAGAAAUGAAGAAAAAAUGAUGAAAAAUGGUUAAAUGUGAUAGAAAAACAAAGUGGAAAAUUAACCGAGUUAAUGUCCCAUUUUUGACCGAAUUUUCCAAGGAGGAAAGUGAGCUGAUUUUGGUGAUUUUAAAGGGUUAUUGGCUGAUAUUUAAUGGUUAGAAAUGUUGGAGAGAAAAUGGGACAAUUUAGAGCCAAAAUAGAGCGCGUUAGCAAUUUAUCGGGUAAAGUGCCAAAAAUAGGUUAAUACCGCAUUUAAGCCGUUUUAGGCUAUUGCAUUUCAUACCAUGCAUUUGUAUAGGAUUUAAGUCAAUUACAUAGUAAUUUAGCAUCAAUGUGGUGAAUUGUUUAAUUUUUGCAAUGUGUCUAGGAGGAGAGCCUUCCGGUAAAGGCAAAGAAGUCGUACCCGACGAACAGUGAUCGGGGCACCUAGAAAGCAUUUAAUUUGUACAAACGGUGAGUAAACCUAUUAUUAUUGUAAAUUAUCUAGAGUUUAUUUUUAAAUGCUGUUCAUGGAUUUUAUGAAACGAAAAUGAGAUUGAAAUGGGAUUUUUGAUAUUUUAGAAAUAAAUGUGCCAAAUAAAUUCAUUGUGUUGCUUAUCUUAAAUAAGAAACUUUUAAUCAUGAAAUUGAGUAAUUGGAGGCUGUCAAUUGUCUUGAAAAAUAUAUUUUCCUAUGAAUGGCUUAUGAUAUAUGAGUAUAUGUGGCUAUAUUUUAUAAUUGCAUUGGGAAUUUAUGUAAGCUGUCUUUUACUAUGCAGGCUGGGUAAAUAAAUAAAAGCCACGUUAUACUGUCAAAAUUUUAUUAAAAUUAGUGGGUUUAGUCACUACAGUGACGGGUUUUCGUGGACUACCUAUUAGAGGGGUACGGUAAACCCGGUUAUAUAGUUACUCCGGUUGUAGAGGCGAGGAGGGUAACUCCCAGGGUAGUGUUAGAGCUCACUUCACGUCGAACCCCCACGUGAAUGUGUAACUCGGCCAACGCCAAGGAACGGCUUGUUUUCAAAACUAACAUGUGUUUAAUAUGUAAAUAUCUUAAUAACCUUGGCGGACUCGGUUAGAUGCCUCGGCCAAGGUAUCCCCGAUGACUAGUUUUGGCUUGAGCCCUGUUUUUAAUAAAAGUUAUAAGCCUUAACAACUAUUUUGGUAAAUUACAAAUAUUUUAUGAUUUAAGAAAUAAAUUGAAAACCUUAUGAAAUGGUUUGUAAUUUGUUGUUUAAACUUGCCUCCAUGUUACUCAUCUUUAGAUAUUUAUAAUAAUGUCUGUUUACUCAUUGGGAUUGCAAAAUCUCACCCACCUCAUUUCCAAAUAUUUCAGGCCAGUGGUAGCUUGUAGAUACCCGAUUUUGUCGAGGAUUCCAAUUGACCCCUCUAUCACACAGACAAUAGGUUACUAUCACCAACACUUGGUGUAUUUAUGGGCCACUUGUCAUUGUAAUUAUUAUUGUACAUUAUAACUUUGUAAAUUAUUGUAUGUAUGAAUUUGUUUUACUUCUAAGUUACAAAAGAUUACUUACACGUGUUUCUAUAAAUAUUGUUUUAUAUAAAAAUGCUAUAUUUUUGUCUUUUGAUUUACUUGAGCCAGAAACGACUGAAAAUUGUUUAAAACUGAUAUGUAAGCCUUGCGGGGUUUCGAUUGGUAUUCUAGGUAAUUAGUAUCAAUCGAGACAUCGCGGCGGUUGUCAUGGGCCCGAGAGAGGUUUCGAGUCGUGACAUCAAGAUGCUUUACCAAGUGAUACUGAACCCAACCCAAGAAGAGAAGGUAAGGAACAUUGCAUGGCAAUCACUCUCCGUAAUGAAAAAGAGGUACAUAAAGAGGUAAGUAAUCAAGCAAUAAAUCCUGAGAAUUUAAUUCAAUUUGAUGAGAAAGAAAUUGAAAAAGAUGCUGAAAAAGAUAUUGUGGUUGAAAAUUUUGUUGAAAAUUUAAAAGAAAAAUCACAAUCUACUCCCACACCUCCACCGCCUUUUCCUCAACGUUUUCAAAAGCAAAAACUUGACAAACACUUCCAGAGAUUUCUUGAGGUAUUUAAAAAACUGCACAUUAAUAUUCCUUUUGCUGAAGCUUUAGAACAAAUGCCAAGUUAUCUUAAAUUCUUGAAAGACAUCCUGACCAAAAAGAGGAAAUUGGAAGAGUUUGAAACAGUUGCACUUACUGAAGAGUGUAGUGCUAUAAUUCAGAAUAAGCUUCCACCAAAGCUUAAAGAUCCAGGGAGUUUUUCUAUUCCUUGCACUAUUGGUAGUUUUAAAAUUUCUAAAGCUUUAUGUGAUUUAGGUGCUAGUGUUUCAAUAAUGCCUUUAUCUAUUGCCAGGAAACUUGGAUUUCAAGAGAUACAACCUACUACAAUUACCUUGCAAUUAGCAGACAGAAGAAUCAGGCACCUAGUUGGGAUUAUAGAGGAUGUGUUGCUUAAAGUUGGGCAUUUAUACAUUCCAGUAGACUUCAUUGUGCUCAAGAUUGAAGAUGAUGUUGAAAUUCCUUUUAAUUUGGGAUGACCAUUCUUAGCUACAACUGGAGCACUUAUUGAUGUGAAGAAUGGAAAAAUAACUUUUAGAGUUGGAGAGGAGGAAGUGGUAUUUAAUUUGUUUAAUGCAACUCAGUAUCCCUAUACAAAUAGUUGCUAUAAAUUGGAUUUAGUUAAUGAAGGUAAGGGCAAGCCUAUUCCACCACCUUCAACAGAGCAAGCGCCAAUUCUUGAGACAAAGCCACCACCACUUUCCAACUAUCUAGAUUUUGUGGUUAGACAGCGAGUAGUACUUUUUGAUUCACAACUCCAUCUUUUGCCAUGGAAUCUUAGACCAUAUUUGGGGAACAAGUUUAAGGUAAAAAAAAUUCAUCCUGAUGAUGUUAUCGAGAUCUAUAGUGGACUUACCAGAGCAGUCAAGGUCAAUAAAAAAAAUCUCGAGCCGUAUAAAGUAAUGCAGAAGAAGGUACCAUAGUCAAGCUAGUGACUAUAAAGAAGCGCUUCUUGGGAGGCAACCCAAGCAUUCUAACUUACUUUCUUUUAUAUUUUUAUAUUUUUAUUUUUUAUUUAUUUAAUUAUUAAAUUAUUAACUUUUUUUUUAUUUUGUGCAGGUUCUUAAAUUUUUUUUAAAAAAUUCAAAAAAAAAGGUGGGAAGCCGCGACUCACUAGGCUUGGAGCCGCAACUCCACAAAAAUAAAAAAGGGUGGUAAGUGGGAAGUCGUGGCUCGCACUUUUUUUUUAUUAAAUUAAAUCUAAAUUUAAUUUUAUGUGAAUGUUUAUCUAGAUUUAAAAAAAAAUUAGGAUUAGUUGGUAAAAGAAUUUAAUUUUUGUUGAAUUUUAGGAAUCUAGGGUAAAGUUGUGCCAAUUUUUUCAAUGAUUUUUUUUAUCCAAUGAUGAUAACUAGUUGUCUUAAAUUCUUAACUUUUGGUGAAAAAGGUUUUUGUUUGGAUUCAUGCUAAAUUUUUUGUUAAGUAUCAUUGUUAGGAUGUGAUUUCCACAAUUUUGAGCACUAUAUCUUUUACUUUGGAUUAUUUUGAAUACUUAGAGAAGGUUUAUAUUGAUAUGAAUUUUAGAUUAUGUCAUGAAUUUUAAAAUUUAUUUGAUUUUCUCUCGAGGCGAAAUCUUAGGUAAUACUUAGUUAGGGAGAUGAUCUAGGCCAUCUUUGGACCGUUUGAGCCUAGAAAGCCAACCUUGUUAAAUUUUUAUCCCUAAUAUACUCUUUUGAGCCUAAUUUCCCUUUUCUUUGUUCAACUACAUAAUAAUUGAGCUUAACUUUAAAAUUAAAUUUCCAAUUUUGCAACCUUCACUCCUAAGCAUGUAUGUUGUUUUGGGAAAUAUAAAUUGAGCUAAAUGUUGAAAAAGGGAUAAAGGUGAUGUUGAUGUGAAAAAAAUUCAAAAUAUGAAAAAUAACCCCACUACCUACAAUACAAAGAAAAGAAGUUUGGGGGUGUGAAAUUGUGAAAAAAAAAAAAGAAAAGAAAAUACUGUUGGAUGAAAGAAAAAGUUCAAAUAUGAAAGAAAAGGUGUACUAGGAGAAAGAAAUAGAGCUCUAUAUAUAAGUCCUAGAAUAAUUAUGUGCUUAGGGUGUUUUGAGCCACAUUAAUAUCCUUUAUCAUACCUUGACCCUAACCAUACAUUACAAGCUUUAUAAAGUCCUAUUGAUCCCUAGCUUUGUAUUGGUCUACAUUAAUGGAGAGAGAAAUGAAAAGUAAACCUAUGGAAAUCUAGUACUAAUUUGAAAUUUGUGUUGACAUAAAUUCAUUUGGAUAUCAUGAUAUUCUUGGUAAAAGAUUUCACACACACGCGAAAAUCCAUUCGAGAAUGUGCUUGCAUUAAAAUUGAAACAUGAAUCUGAAUGAGACUUUUAUUUUUUCUGAGGUUAAUGAUUGAUAGACAUACUUUUGAGGAAAUUAUAAAGAAUCAUUGAGUUGGUGCACUUUAUCUCUUGUAGUAGUAAUAGUAGUAGUAAUAACUAUAUUUAUUUUUCAUUAACUGAAUUUGAUUUUCAUAAGUUAGGUUCUUUUCUAUGUUUUGCUCGAGGACUAGCAAAAUCUUAAGUUUGGGGGUGUGAUAACUCUAUGAUAUAGAGUUAGUUAAGCUUAAUUUUGAUAAUAAUUUGGCUAAGUUUUUGUAGUAAUGCAUCGAAAUUAGUAGGUUUUAUUUCAUUAUUUUAAAUUAGUUAUUUUAGGUGAGUCAAUCUAAUUUUGAUUAAUUUUAUGCUUAAUUUGGUGUUAAUAUGAUUAAGAUAGGUUGCUAUUGAUUUAUUUGUGUUUUUGUAGGUGUUUGAAAGAAGAAUUUUAAUGAAAGAACGAAAACAAUUUCAAGGUGCAUACUUCUAAAGUAUAUAUUUUCGUAUUUUGGCCAUAUUUUUCUCUACAAAGCUCCAAAUGAAGCUAUUCUUAGACCAAUGGAAAGCUAAGAGAAAGAUAUACAACUUUCAUGUUUACCACUUCACCCAAUUUAGCUUGAAAAAGGAUAAAAAAUCUUAUCGAAGUUGACACACUGCAAUAGUGCUAAGGCAAUUGCGAUUUUUGUUAAUUAAUUUGGCAAAGCUGCGACUUACGUAGUCUGAUGAGGAAAUCCUAGCUGAAAUUGACUUCUUUCUUCACCCAAAUUGGCCUAACUUCAAAGCCUACAAAAAUAACCUUUUGGAGACUUAAAAGCAUUAAGAAGAAAAACACCAGAUUAAUAGCUGAGAGUCGAGUUACAGAGUCAUUGAAGCUAAGAAGAAUUUGCAGAAUUCAAGGAGAUUUGAAGAUCAAGAAUACAAUUCUUGUGUUUUUCUAUAUUUUCUUUUAUUCUCUUUUUUUCUUAGUUUUGUUUUAAUGUUUAUAUUUUAUUCGAUGAUGAUGUAUGACUUGAUGGGGAACUAAUUUUUUAAUCUAAGAUUAUGAUUGAACUCAAUAUCUAGUCUGAAUUAUUUAUCUCUCUUUUACUUAUGUUUGAUGGAUUUAAAUUGUUUAUUUUAUUCUAUUCUUAAUGCUUCUAGUUGACUGGACACCAAUUAGAUUGAAUUAGAAACCUAGGUUAAACCUUGACGAAGGAGAUUUAGGUAGACCUUGAAUAAAAUAGUGUAUGAUCGAAUACACUUAGUUGAUUAGGUGGUUUGAUUUGUAUAUAGGGUAGACAUACACCUAUAAACCAUGCAUAGCCAAAAUUAGAGUACAAACUUAAUGAAUCUUUCUUCAAUAUAAUUUGCAUAGAUAUAUAGUAAAUUAAUUGGGAGAGGUAUUUUUAUAAGAAAUUCGAUAGAGACUUGUAAAUAAUUUAUGACUCUAGGUUAGCAAUUUAAUCCAUUAAACUAAGUUAAAAGAGAGAGACAAUAAUCAGAUGAAGUAUUGAGGGAUAUCAUAAUCUUAGGUCGUUAAUCAUUAGAAGUAAAUUUGCUAAUAAAAUUCAGAUUAGUUUUGGUCUUAGUUAAUAGUUAUCACUUUAAAUUUUUCCUUUUUAAUUUUAAUUGUUUAGAUAAAAUUAAGGUGUGUUAAUUUUAGUAGUUAACAGUAAGGAUUAAUUCAAUUCUCUGUGGGAUUGACACUCUACUCAUCUUUAUAUUAUCUUUGCAAUACAUACACUUGCGUGGGUAGAAAAUUUAACAACAGUACUUAAUAGCAAUACCACAAAUUUUCUUAAUGAAAACAGAUUUCAAAGGAAACAAAUCAAUUAAUUUUUUACUAGGGCUAAUUAAAAGCCUAACCUUACCUCAAGGUUGGCUUUCUAAGCUUCCAAACACCUUAAAUAAUGCCCAAAAUCAAAGGAGAAGCUUGGGGUCAUAAUGGUAGAGGAAUGCGGCUGAGUUUCCUUUUUUCUUCAAAUGGGCGAAAUGCCAAAAGCAAUUCCUUUUUUUUGCAUUCCUAUAAGGAUGUAUCGAUAGAUUCAUGAAUCUAUCGAUACAUUCGUAUGAUUUUUCUUCAAAUCUAUCAAUACAUGUGUUAAUGUAUCUGUAGAAAUUCAAUAGAAUACUCACUACCUCAAAUCUAUUGAUAGAUUCAUGAAUCUAUCGAUACAUUCGUAUGAUUUUUCUUCAAAUCUAUCAUUACAUAUGUUAAUGUAUUUAUAAAUAUUCAGCAGAAUGCUCACUACCUCAAAUCUAUUGAUAGAUUGGGAAAUCCAUCAAUACAUUUUUCACAGAAUGCCCCUUUUCAAAAUUUAUUGAUACAUUUGGUGAUUCUAUCCAUAAAAAUUCAACAGAGUGUCUCUUGGCUCAAAUCUAUCAAUACAUUCUUGACUGUAUGGAUAAAAAAUUUAUAGAAUGCUUCCCCCAAGGCUUUUUACCAAGAAUCUAUUGAUACAUUCUCAAAUGUAUUGAUAGAUCUUGUCUAGAAGCUAAAUUUUCUAAUACUUUUAGCUUCCUGACUCCAAAUUUCAAACUUCUUAAUCAUGUCUAACUGCAGCCACACCUUAAUUCAACCAUAUAACUCCUAAGUUUUAGUCAAACUUCAAUAUAUUCAAAUCAUCAAACAUAUCUCAAUAUCUUUGCUUAGGUGUCAUAGCUUUUCAUAAUACAAGCUUAUGCACAUAUAACACCAUCCAAAGUCCUCAAAACAUGUUAAGACUUCAUAAUCACAUUCAUCAGCACAACAAAUUUCAAAUUAUAUACUUAACCAAAAUCAUAUGUAAUUCAUAUUAAAGUCAGGGGUGUUACAUCCUCCCCUUCUUAUAAAAAUUCGAUCUUUAAAUUUAACUCAAGUGCUAUAAAGAAAAUCAUAUCUUAAGUCUUAAAGAGAUACAGAUAUUUUGCUUGCAUUUCCUCCUCGAAUGAUCAUGUCGCUUCCUCAACCGAGUGGCUCUGUCGUAACACCUUUACUAAAAUAAUAUAUUUAGAGCAAAGCCAUUUUAUUUGUUUGUCUAACAUAGCCACAAGCUACUCCUUAUAUGUGAAACCGUCUUGCAACUAACCUUCAUCAUAUUGAAUUAUGUGCAGAGGAUCGAAAACAUUUUUCUUAAGCAUGAACAUGUGAAAAAUUUAAUGAACAUUGGACAACUUGGCAACAACGCCAAAGAUAAGCAAUUACGCCCACACACUCUAAAAUCUUAAAUGGUCUGAUGUAUCUUGAGCUCAAUUUCCCUUUCUUGUCGAACCUUUUAACUCCUUUAGUUGGCGAAACUUUAAAAAACUCAUGGUCCCUGAUUUCAAACUCUUGAGACUUUCACCUAUUAUCAAUGUAUGAUUUCUAUCGACUUUAAGUUGAUAACAUUCUUUCUUGGAUUAUCUAAACACCAUUUACAACUUCUUAGACCAUCUCCAACCCCAAGAGCUUUCUUUCUCCAACCUCAAGCCGUCCAAUGGGCAAUCUACAUUCUUGUCUGUACAAAGCUUUGAAUGGUGCCAUUCCAAUGUUGGCAUGAUAACUAUUGUUGUAUGCAAACUUGGCCAAAGGUAAAUAAAGGUUUCAAUAAACUCUAAAAUCAAGUACAAUCGCUCUCAAUAUAUCUUCAAGUGUUUGAAUUGUGCAGUCAGAUUGGCCAUUCAUCUACAGAUGAUAAGCUGUACUAAAAUCUAACCUUGUGUCUAUGGCUUCUUAUAGCUUCUUCCAAAAUUGAUUGGUGAACUAUGUACCUUGGUCGGACAUUAUACUUAUAGGAACACCAUGUACCCUUAUAAUCUCCUUAAUGUAAAUUCGAGCAUACCAAGCUAUUCCAAAAAUUGUCUUGAUCGAUAGAAAAUGAGCUGAUUUAGUUAGCCAAUCUAUUAUCACCCAAAUGGCAUCAUAGCCUCCUCUAGCUUAAGAUAAACAUGUCUCAAAAUCCAUUACUACAUGUUCUCAUUUCCACUCAAGUACUAGUAAUGAUUGCAACAACCUUGAAGGUUUUUGAUGUUUAGCUGUGACUUGUAGACAAACCAAACACUUUGAGACACAUUUUGCUACAUCUCUCUUCAACCCUUGCCACCAAUAAACAGACUUUAAGUCGUGAUACAUUUUAAUGGCUCCCAAGUGUAUGGCAUAGGUUGCAACGUGAGCCUCUUCCAAUCUCCCAACUCUUAAACCAUCUUAAUUUGGCAUAUAAAAUCGAGAUAUAUAUCUAAGAAAACCACUAAUGCGAUAAAAAAAGUCUUGAGCUUUUUCUUCGCUCAUAUCUCCAAAGACUUUUAUCACAAAUUUGUCCUAGUUUUUGGCGUCUGUAAUCUGAUCCAUAAUCAUUGGUUAGACUCUGAAAUGAGCCAAUAAGGCAUCUAAAUCAUUAACCUUAAAAUGUUCUCCCAUAUUACCAAGAUCAUACCAAAUUUUCACUGAGGAUGGUUUCUUCAUCGUCAUAUGUGCUAAACUCCCUAUAAAUUUCUGGUUUAAGGCAUUUGCUAUAACAUUCGCCUUGCCUAAGUGGUACAAUAUGGCGCAAUCAUAGUCCUUUAGUAAUUUUAACCAUCUACGCUACCUCAAAUUCAAAUUUCUUUACUGAAAUAUAUACUUUAAGCGCUUGUGGUCAAUAUAUAUUUCAUAAUUCUCACCAUCUAGAUAGUGUCACAAUAUCUUCUAGGUGAAUACACUCGCUGCCAUCUCCAGAUCGUGUAUAGGAUAUGUAACGACCCCCUCCUUGGUCACUCCCAGCGUCCGAGACUUUCAAAGAAUUUUCGCUAAGUCUCGAAUAAGCCUCAUUUAAAACUUUCGCUAGAUUCAUUAAAUACAUAUAAUCAUGUGCGUAAGUGAAUAUAUAAAAAUUAAACUAUUAUCUACUCCAUUCAAAAUAAUAAUAAUUCACGUUUAUGAGUUGACAACAUUUUUCAACACCUAGUAAAUUUCGUUUUAACAUAACACUAAACAACGGAGCAACUUAGAGCGAGGCUAAGAGAUGCCUUUACCUACUCUGCGGUGGUCCGUAUGCACCGAUGGUUACACAUUAGACUGAUCUCUAUUUGCAAAAAUGAAAAAUAAGAGGGGUGUGACUCUCAUAGACUCAGUGAUAAUCAUCGACCCCGUGAGUAGGCGAAGAGGGGAAACAACAUAGAGGUGGAAUGUUUAUAAACUCAAGAAUAAGAGUAGAAAAUACAUUCCAUAAAAAUGAGAGAUUUUGUUUUAUACCUUGCAAUUCUUAAAAAUAAUAAUUCCCAAGUAAACAUGUAUGAAAAUAGUUGUAUUUAGGAUACUAGAAAAUCUUUCAAACUUGACAUCCAGUCAACAUUUAAUUCAAUGGCAAGUGAAAAAUGAAAAUUCUCGAAAAUAAAAAGGCGAAUUAAUUUAUCACCAAUGAAUAAAUAAAUUUCACUUGCCCAUUUAAUAAAUAAAAAUUUUCAAGUAUUAAUGCCAUGCAUAGAAAAAUAAAAUCCAGAAGGGAACAUCAUCCUCGAGUAAGUUUAAUAUAGCCUUUAGGCUUACUCUCUCAGACAUCAUCACUUACUCGUGGGAACUACCCACGCCACUAUAUGAAUCGGGGCUUCAAGUCCCCCUUUGCCUACUCAUGGGAAUUACCCACGUCACUAAAUAUAAAUCGAGGCUUCAGGUCCCCCUUUACCUACUCGUGGGAACUACGCACGUCACAAAAUAUAAAUCGAGGCUUCAGAUCCCCCUUUGCUUACUCGUGGGAACUACCCACGUCACCAAAUAUAAAUCGGGGCUUCAAGUCCCCCUUUGCCUACUAGUGGGAUCUGCCCAAGCCCCCAUAUAUAAAUCGGGGCUUCAUGUCUCACUUUGCCUUCUCGUGGGAACUGCCCACGCCACCAUAUGAAUCGAGGCUUCAAGUCCCCCUUUACCUACUCGUGGGAAUUGCCCACACCACCAUAUGAAUCGGGGCUUCAAGUCCCCAUUUAAAAUCAAAUAUCGAAAAUCAUUGCAAUUUGAAGCAAUUGCAAAUCAUAAUAGUUUGUAAACAAUAUAAUCAUAAAUCAAUGUUGUGCUUAUUUUAUCUCAAAGCAUGGUAUAUUUACCAAAUCAGCUUGUCAAGUGAAAUAAAUAAUUUAUCAAGUUUUAUGAAUCAAUACAAAGGCCAUUGGCCCAAACAUCACACAAACUUGCAAGGUACGAUUUUGAAGUGAAAACCAGUCAAAGGUUUGUUUCCCCAUAUUUAAAAAAAACAUGUAGAUAUAUAUAAUUAUAUACUUUAAAGAAAAGCGGAUAUAAAAUCCUUGUCACAAGCACAAACAACCUAAGGCUUUCUACCAACUCAUGCUGUCCACAAUUUCGUCAACUAUCAAUUGUAACAUAUAUAAUAUUUCAUAGGAAAAUAAUUUUAAAAUCUAGCACCCACUCACCUCACAGUAACGGGACGUUACUUCGCUAUUAUUUUGCGCAUGUACUUAGCUAUUCUCUCUUCCUUUUCAUCUUUUUUCCUUUUAUGUCGCUGCUCUUUCUUUCCUUCUUCUUAUUUUUCUUUCUCUUCUUUCUUCUCUCUCCUUCUUCUCCCUCAUUGCUGCUCCUCUUCUUAUUUUUCUUCUUUUUCUUUCUCUUCUUUCUUCUCCCUCCUCGCCAUUCUCCCUCUCUCUUUCUUUUUCUUUUUCUUUCUCUUCUUUCUUCUCCCUCGUCACAGAGCUCCCUCUCUCUUUUUUCUUCUCUUUCUUUUUCUUUUUUCCUCUUUCUCUUUCCUUUUUCUGCUCUACCGUGCUCUUUCUCUCCUUUAUUCUUCUCUUUCUCUUUUUUUUUCUCUUUCUCCUCUCUUCUUUCUCUCCCUUGGGCCCCUCACUCUCUUCCAUCUCUUUCCUCUUCUCUUUCUUUUUCUCUUUCUCCUUUGUCUUUUCUCCCUUUUUUUGCAGCAUUAACUUUUCUUCUUUUCUCUCCUUUCUUCCUUCUCCAUUUUGGCCUACCCCCUACUCCUUUCUUCAUCUCUUUGUCUUUUCUUUGUGAGUGGGGCGUCACAGGAUAGUUUUGCUCAUGCCUCUUAAUUUAUCAUAAGGCAUAAGCCAUAACUCAUCGGUGUUGCAUCAACACACCACCCAAACUAAUUUGUGAUGCAUCAUAAUGCACAACAUAGCCUUCGAAUCCACACAAAAGGCUCAACAUGAGUGUAGAAGUGAAACAAGCUUUAAGUCUUAAAAUACUUACCUUGUAGGCAUUAAACAAAUCAAAUUUAAUUCCCUUUUGAGUUAAUUUUGUCAAGGAGAUGCUAUCUUGGAGAAAUCUUAAACAAAGCGUUUGUAAUAAUUGGUUAAUCCCAAAAAACUUCGAAUUUCCAUUAUAGACAAAGGCUUUAGCCAAUUCUCCAUAGCCUCUAUCUUACUCAUAUCAACUUGUACCCCUUGCUCAGAUACAACGUCUCCCAAGAAACUAACUUAACCAAAAUUCGCACUUCGCAAAUGUAGCAUAUAACCGAUACUCUUUAAGAAUUUAAAGCACAAUUCUCAAGUUUUCUGCAUGUUCCUCCAGGCUCCUUGAAUACAUCAAAAUCUCAUCUAUGAAUAUGACUACAAAUUUGUCCAAAUAUGCCCCAAAACUUUAUUCAUCAAAUCCAUAACGUUGUAAGGACAUUAAUUAGUCCAAAUGACAUCACUAGGAAUUCGUAGUGCCCAUAUCUUUUACGAAACAUUGUCUUAGGUAUAUCACUCUCAUGAAUUAUCAAUUGAUGAUACCCAGAACAUAAAUCAAUCCUUAAAAAGCAUAUCGCACCUUAUAAUUGAUCAAACAAAUCAUAUAUUCUUGGGAGUGGAUAUUUAUUCUUAAUUGUAACUUUAUUGAAUUGUUAGUAGCCAAUACACAAUCUGAGGCUCCAUCUUUCUUUUUCAACAAUAGCAUCGGAGUUCCCCAAGGCAAAACAUUUUGGCAAAUAAAGCCCUUAUUCAACAAAUCAUUUAAUUGCUCUUUGAGCUUUCUUAGCUCAGUCGGUGCCAUUCGAUACGAAGGUAUAGAAAUAUGCCUCGUAUCCGAUACUAAGUCAAUGCAAAAUUCAAUCUCCCUUUUGAGAGGUAACCCAAGUAGUUCCUCUGAAAAGAUUUUAAAAGUCACAGCCCAAAUCCUAAGCCAUCACCGACGCAUGGGCUCAAUGGGCAUAGCCCACUAAGCCCAAGCAAAUCUCUUUAUGAGAUCCUAUUCCUCAUUCCAUCCAUCAUCUUGAAAACCAUGUGUUGUAAUUCUCAACGAUGAAUGUUUCAGUAAUAUUAUAUAGCAACCGAAUAUUCAUAUUUGUAUUAUCUCAAAGUACUAUCAUUCAUUGUCAUCUCAUAUGGGGCAUCAUCAUCAAUCCAACAUAUACAUACUUCAUUUAUAACAUGACUCCUAGUAGUUUAUAUUACAUAUACCUGCAGACAAACAAAAGACUCUCAACCAUCAGCGGAGUGACUUUAAGUGAAGGUACCGUUACUGAGAUGCCAUAGUACCUACAAAAAGACGAGCAUACAUGGACACUCAAUCUAGGUCUCAACUGCUUCUGAAUCUGAAAACAUGAAGUUUAAAAGAGUGAGUAUAAAACUCAGUGAGUGAACAUAAGAAGGGAACAAGCAAUCAACAAAGAGAACUAAAAAAUCAUGAUGCACUUGUUUCGAAAACAAUUCAAUUGAUUUAAUUUCUUACUAAAAACCCCUCAUUUCAAACUUUGAUUAAUAACCUCAUAGUGUUUCAAAAACCCAUGAUCAAUCCAUGAAGUUAAAUGGGUGAAAAAUAUGUCAAAAUCAAGCAAGGUAGCAAGCAUGACAGCAAGUUUCUUGCUAUAGUGAGAAAAAUUCUUGAUUUGCAUAUGUUUUGAUUUUUCAAGCAUAUCUCCCACUAGAGAAGUCCAAUUGACAUGAUUUUUUGACCAUUACAAAGCUAAGAGGCUAUGCUACAACUUUUAUGUUUACCACUUUUCUCAGUUCUGACUAGAAGGUGGUCAAAAUUCAUGUCAAAUUAAGGGUACUACAUUAGAAUUUUUGGAACUACUCGAGAGUUUCUCGCUACAGCGAGAAUCAAGCCAGUGCAACCCCCCUCCAACCUGAGAGUUUCUCGCUACAGCAAAAAUAAAUCUCGCUACAGUGAGAAAUAAAGCAACUUAGUUAAAAAGGGUCUUGUUACAUUAAAAGCCAUUUUCUUGUUGAAAUGAAAAGCAAUUUGAGAGCAAUUAACAAUACCAACAUACAACACAAUCAUAAUUAUUUUCAUAAACUUUCUAUAACAUAUAUAUAUUUGUAUAUACAUACAUCAUCAUGCAUACCAUCCUACCACACUCAGCUCAAUGCAAUAUCAUCAUCAUGUGUGCACUCCCUACUCACACACUUCAACAUCAUCACGUGUGCACUCCUUACUCGCACACUCUAACAUCAUCAUGUGUGCACUUCACUCCCUACUCGCACACUUCAACAUCAUCAUGUGUGCACUCCCUACUUUCACACUUCAACAUCAUCACACAACAUUAUUCAUCAAUGCAAAACAUAUAUUCAUAUAUAUACAUGCCAACAUAAUAUAGGAGCACAUGGAUUUAUCUUUUUACACAUUUCACAUUUUCACAACAUCAAAACACUUUAUCAAGGACUUGUUCCCCGGCACACAUUUUGUAACGACCCCCUCUUUGGUCGCUACCGGCGUCCGAGACUUUCAAAGAAUUUUCACUAAGUCCCGAACAAGCCUCAUUUAAAACUUUUGCUAGAUUCAUUAAAUGCAUAUAAUCACAUGCGUAAACAAAUACAUAAAAAUUAAACUACUAUCUACUCCAUUCAAAAUAAUAACAAUCCACGUUUAUGAGUUGACAACAUUUUUCAACAUCUAGUAAAUUUCGUUCUGACAUAACAUUAAACAGUGGAGAGACUCAGAACGAGGCUAGGAGAUGCCUUUACCUACUCUGUGGUGGUCCGUAUACACUAAUGGUUACAUGUUAGACUGAUUUCUCUCUUCAAAAAGGGAAAAUAAAAGGGGUGCGAGUCUCACAGACUUAGUGAUAAUCAUCGACCCCGUGAGCAGGCGAAGAAGGGAAACAACAUAAAGGUGGAAUGUUUAUAAACUCAGGAGUAAGAGUAGAAAAUAUAUUCCAUAAAAAUGAGAGAUUUUGUUUUAUACCUUGCAAUUCAUAAAAAAAUAAUAAUUCCCAAGUAAACAUGUAUGAAAACAGUUGUAUUUAGGAUGCUAGAAAAUAUUUCAACCCCGACAUCUAGUCAACAUUUAAUUCAAUGGCAAGUGAAAAAUAAAAAUUCUCAAAUAUAUAAAAACGAAUUAAUUGAUCACCAAUGAAUAAGUAAAUUUCACUUGCCAUUAAAUAAAUAAAAAUUUUCAAGUAUUAAUGCCAUGCAUAGUGAAAUAAAAAUCUACAAGUGAGCAUCGUCCUCGGGUAGGUUUACUCUAGCCCUUAGGUUUACUCUCUCAGACAUCAUCACUUACUCGUGGGAAUUGCCCAUGCUACCAGAUGAAUCGGGGCUUUAGGUCCCCCUCUUUACCUACUCGUGGAAACUACCAAUGCCACUAAAUAUAAAUCAAGGCUUCAGGUCCCCUUUUACCUACUCGUGGAAACUACCCAUGCCACCAAAUAUAAAUCAAGACUUCAAGUCCCCCUUUUUACCAUCAAAUACCGAUAAUCAACAAUUUUUACUUUAUGCAUAAAGACCACACUUAAAUUGGUGUGGUAACUGGUCCUACCCAGAGUAUCUCAAUCACGUUAAAAUAAAAUCGUUGCAAUUUAAUGCAUUAGCAAAACAUCAUAGUUUGUAAACAAUAUAAUCACAAAUCAAUGUUGUGCAUAUUUUAUUUCAAAACAUGGUAUAUUUACCAAAUCAGCGUGCUAAUUGAAAUAAGUAAUUUAUCAUCAACUUCUAUGAAUCAAAACAAAGGCCAUUGGCCUAAACAUGUCACAAACUUGCAAGGUAUAAUUUUGAGGAGAAAGCCAGUCAAAGGUUUAUUUCCCCGUAUUUAAAACAUGUAGAUAUAUAUAUUUAUAUAUAUUUUAAAGAAAAACAGAUUAAAAAUCUUUGUUACAAACACAAACAACCUAAAGCUUUCUACCAACUCAUGUUGUCCACAAUUUCAUCAACUAUCAAAUAUAACAUCUAUAUUAUAUUAUAGGGACAUAGUUUUGAAAUUUAGCAUCCACUCACCUCACAAUAGCGAGACGCUACUUUGCUAUUAUUUCACACGUGUACUUAGAUAUUCUCUCUUCCUUUUCAUUUUUUUUUUCUUCUAUGUCGUUGCUCCUUCUCUCAUUUUUCUUCUUUUUUCUUUUUCUUCUUUCUUCUUUUUCCUUCUUCUCCUCGUCACUGCUCUUUCUCUCCUUCUUCUUCUUUUUCUUUCUCUUCUUUCUUCCCUCUUUUUCUUCUCCUCUGUCGCUGCUCUUUCUCUCCUUCUUUUUUUUUUCUUUCUCUUCUUUCUUCCAUCUCUUUUUUCUCCCUUGUCGCAGUGCUCCCUCUCUCUUUCUCUUUUUUUUUCUUUCUCUUCUUUUUCCCUUCUUUUUCUUCUCCCUCGUCGCCGUGCUCCCUCUCUCCUUUUUUUCUAUUUCUCUUUCUUUUUCCUCUCUCCUUUCUCUCCCUCAAGCCCUCCACUCUUUUCCUUCUCUUUCCUCUUCUCUUUCUUCUUCUCUUUUUCUUUCUUUUUCUUCUUUUUUGGCAGGUUGACUUUUCUUCUUCUCUCUCCUUUCUCCCUUUUCCUUGUUGGUCGGCCCUCCUUUUUCUUCUCCUCUUUCCUUUCUUUUCUCUUCUCUUUUGUCUUUUAUGAGUGGGGCAUCACACAUUUUUUAAAGAAAGGUUGGAUAAAAUCAUUCAAAUGUUUCAUCCAAAUACAUUUACAUUUCCCAAAGUAAUUUUGAAAUGCAAGUUCACUCAUCGAUAUUUGUUAAAUCUUUAUCCAACUUCAACUCGACUAUUACUCCAAAUGAAGAUGUGAGGUCUUGUUGGAACCUAUCACACACCAACAUUACAACCAACCCAAUUUGCAUAAAUACAAUUCUAAAAGCUAUUUCUUAAAUCAAGUUCCACUAGUCAUCCCUAACUAGCUUCCAACUAUUAUUAAAUGGCUAUCUAUUCUCUCUACUCUAGUAACACUAGAAAUAAAUAAACAAUCUUCAAUAAUAAAACAACUCACAACUCCAAUUACUAGCCAUUAUCAAUAACCUAAAAUCAAUCCUCAUUCAUUACUCACCUUGGUAGAUUUGUAGUUGAAUUCCUUCUCAAGAAUGCUCAAGCUAUCAUGGAAAGUCUCUCUCUCUCUAAAAUGUCCAACUAGUGAGAGAAAGUGUUGAGGAAAGAUUUUUUAGGGUUUUAAGGUGAGAGUGUGACAGAGCACAAAAGGUUCUAUGAAAAAAUGCUCAAAAGCAAGAAAAUUGAAACUAGAGAGAGAGAGAGUUAUGGAAGCUUUAAGGGAGGCUUCCAUGGAAGAUGAAGAAACGUGAGAUGAGGAAGAGGAAAGGAAGAAGAAGCUGCUGGAAAAAUGAGGAAGUUGUUGGAGAAAUGAGAUAUUUAUAGCCUAAGCUUAUCCAAACUUCACUUAAAUUAUGACAAUGCCUUCAACAAGUUGGCUUUGUCUUCCUCCAAUCCUUUGUGCAAUAUUUUUACUCUUUUGACACUGAGAUAAAGUCCAUAAUAGUCUAGAAAUAUCGGGUUCACAAAAUUUUAAAAAUUUUGACUCGAGAAAAAAAUGACCAUUUUGCCCUUACCUUGGAAAUCACCAUUAUUUCUAUUUCCUUCGUCAUUUUAUCCUCAUUUUCAUCAUUCAAUUAUGCCUUAAGCCUACUUAGGCCUUAAUAAUGUUAGAAAACCCACUUCUAGAAGGUCAUUAAGAAAAUGACCAAACUACCCCUACUUUACAUCAUAGGGUUUACCUCCACUACAUGUCUGUGAAGGUCGAGGUCUCACAUUCUCCCCCACUAAAAGAAAUUCGAUCCCCAAAUUUGAAUCGAACUAUAAGAUAGUGCAUCUAUAUGCAUUAAAGAGGUAUGGAUACCUGUUUGCAACUCCUCUUCAGCCUUCCCCAUUACCUCUUCACUGGUGUGGUUUCACCAUAAUGCUUUCACUGAGGCUACAUCCUUUGAGCAGAGCUUUUGACUUGUCUAUCAAGAAUAGCAACUGGUUGCUCUUCAAAUGUUGAAUCAUUAUUAACAAAGUUAAGUUUCAUCUUUUAAAUCAACUCCUCCAAUUACUUGCAUUAGGGUAUUAUCAUUGUUUAUUCUCCAUCCAUGGCACUAGUGCUUCGUGGAAGUCUAACUCAACUAUGAUAUAACACUUCGUUAAUCCUUACAUCUUGAUCAUAUUAAUCCAUUUGUACGGCUCAACCACGAUGUAAAUUCCAAUUCCUUAAUAUCCCUUCUUUCUCUAUUGCACUUGAAUUCUCCUUUACUCACAUAGCUCAACUUCUAAUGGUAACUCUUAUCAUCGUGUCAUCUAUACAACUCAUUAAGCAUGUUAAAUUCAAAACUCCAAUCACCAUAAUUAAUUCUUCACUUUAAUUAAUCACAUAAUCAUCUCCAUAUAUAUAUAUAUAUAUAUGUAUGUAUGUAUGUAUAUACACAUUUAAGAAUCAUCAUCCAUCACUAUAUGUAGGAACCCUCAUCAAUUACUUUAAAGUAAAUUUCCUCUAUUUAUUCCAAUCCAUAACCUAGAUUCAUGAUCAUAUUCUCAUGUUUCCCUUUUUACUUUUCCAUUUCAUUCCCAUAGUUCAAGUUUAAUCCAUGAAUAUUAGGAUAUAAUCAACUCCAGAUUACCCUUUCGAAUGUUUAAAUCACCAUUUACUUUACAUCCUACCACUCAUCCUUGCGCCACAUUGUCAUAAACAUGUCACAAUCACUAAUUAUCAUUUUAAUCAAGUUACCCUCCAAUAUCCAUGUAUGCCUUACUAUUUUGUUGAUCUUUCAAGUUUAUCUUUACUUGAUCUUUACAUUUAUGCUAUACCACAAUCCUUAAAAGUCUUCUUUACUUCUUAAUUGUCUUCUUAACUUCCAACAUAUAUGUGAUAUUCUUAUGUCAUCUCGACAUUACUUAGUCCUAAUUCAUAUUCUUGUAUCCUGACUCUAAAUCAUGGCUUAUUACCAAAAUCUUUACUUGUACAUGCUUGCUUGAAGUAUCAAAUCAUCAUCUCUUUCCCAAGUAGAUCUCUAAGAAUCCCGUUGUGUACUACUAUUUCCUCACCAAGGGUAAUGUUGAUUAACUAGAGCAUAUGCCAUUAUUCACUAAGCAUUUAAAGCAUAGUUCAAUCCUUGCUUUCCUUUAACAGGUACUCUACUUUGAUAAUUACUCAAAAUGAAAUAACACAUGUGAGGGAAACUUUUUUUUUUUACCAUUGUAUACUUCGCCUCAAACCAACAUUUCCAAUCAUUCUUAGACUUGCAGCAUACCUUUAUACUACACGACAUAUCAAUCACGAGCACUAACGUCACUAUAUAACUGUUAGGUCCUUAAGCUUUAAUGUGUUCACAUUGUGAGAACUCUUUCGAAUUAUUUCACCAAAGUAUUCAUAAAGUGGAUACAAGCCCAUAACUUAUGGUUCAAUAUCUAAAAUAGUGAACACUAUCCCAUCAUUAAAGUUCUAUCCUUAUCUAUUAAUCAUAACUCCUUUGCACAUUUACUUAUACAUUGCUUGGUUGCUCACGAGCCUAUAUGGCCAUGCCAUUUCGAUCUUUUAUGGCAAAUUAACUAAUAUAUUCUCUUAUGCUUUUCAAUACACUUCUGAAACACUUAAACACAUCCUUUCGUGGAAUUCAGUUGAGGACUUAAACAAUCAAAAGCUUACCUUCAAAACCACUCAUAACUUUAAUAAUCCAAUGUAUGCUCAAUGACAUUCCACCUCAUCGAUUCCAACGGACAUUAUUUUCAAAUCUCCCAAGGCGUCGUUGUCCUUAAUUUAGACCACACAACUAUCUUAGUAUAUUUGCAUGAAUUAUUCUUAAGCUUCUUAUGUUCAUCAUAGCAACAUCCAUAUUUCUCCCAUUAUUUACCUUGCUUUUCAUUCACUCUUUCCUAGCCCUUAAUAAAGCUUAAUCUCUUGUCUCAUUUACCUACAUGUCCAUAUAUAAGGCAAUAAAGAAACUUUCCAAUUCAUUCAUAUAAAUACUUUCCAAAACCUUAAAACUCCAAUUAACGAAGUUAACAUCAAGUCUAAAUGACCAUAAUUCAGUGCGUAAGUUCAGCUUCACGCCCUUCACAUUUUAUUCAUACAUUCUAGACAUGAGGUGCUCCUAGCACUGUGGCGCGGUGGUUGCUGGGGUUUACUUAAUCAAUGCUAUUCGUUUACAUUUAAGGUUACUACAUUGAUCAUCCUCGACCGUUUGGUUUUCCUCCAAGCUUACAUCACACUUUCCAUAGCCAUUUAUAUUCUCGUUGGUUUAUCACAUAUAAUAGGCUAAACCAAUAUUUUCAAAUUCAACUCAUCCCUUAACACUUGUCACCAAUCAAUAAAUCCCACCUUAGGACAUCUUUCCAUAUUGUACAAUGAAUUCACCAUGUACAUAUAACACCACACACAUAAUUAUUCAUUGCUUCUAGUGUUCCACAAUUCCUUAGCAUUCGCAACUAGUUGUUUCUCUUAUCUUAUAACUUAAUUAGUUUAGCCACUUCAACUUAGUAUCAUCAUGAAUUUUGUCUAUCUUGAUCAUUCUACUUAUGCUCACAUCAUUACUUCAAAAUUCUAGAAUUUAUUCUUCCCCCAUUUUCAUUGUUAUUUUUAAUAGCGUAUAUCAUGUCAAUUUAGUAUCUUAUAAUACCACAUUUACAACCCACCAAGCAUAUUGUGUUCAAAUCUCAAGUCGCUAAGAACGAUUCUUUGUUUCCACCAAUGACAUGAGUAACUCCACAUAUACAUAUACACAUCCAUUUAAAUGUCAACAUCAUCCAUUUGAAUGUCUCUUGUCGCCACUAGAUAUCCUUGGUAAUCUUGGCCUGACCUUCGAGUAGUAGAUAGGACUGACAUAACUUCUAUAGAUACUGGAUUGCUAUGUUCGUAAAUCACAAAUGAAGGCUCCCUCGAGAACUUAAACUUUACUAACUUGUAGUUUCAAUCCAUCUUAGCAUAAUAAAACGCUAACCAAUCCAUUCGCAGAAUUACAUCAAAAUUAAAGGUCAACAAUAACACCAAGUCUGCUAAAGUGUCUUUGUUUUUGAUACGGACCAUACAAAACUUAUACACAUAUUCCACAAUAAAUACUUCCUUUAAAGGAGUAGUCACAAUCAAACGUUCUUCUAACCCACAAUAAAAUCUGCCUAACUUUGAUACUAAGUGGAGUGACACAAAUGAAUGUAUUGAUAUAAGAUCAAACAAGACUAAAGCUUUAGUACCACAAACAAAAAGUGUACUUGUGACUAUUGCAUACGAAGUCUGAACCUCUUGUGGUGUUAAAGCAAACAUUCUCACUUGGCCUCCAUUCAUAUUACCUUGUUGCGUUGGCCUUAUUGGCCUAUCUUGAGAUGAUGUGGCUAUACCCUUACCUUUAUCACCUUUGAUAUUCCUAGGGGGAGCUGCCACCCUAAGUGGCGUAGUUGCAACUGGCUACAUGAAACCACGAUUAGCUCUUAAUGAUUGCUUAAACCUCAGGCAAUCUCUCAUAUGAUGUCAAGAUUGAGCACAAACAAAACAUAACCCUACUACUUGAUGGCAUGAUCCACCAUGUGCCUUACCACAAAAAUUACAAAAAGCACCCCUUUGCUUGAGGCCCAAACUAAAGACUCCACUAGCCUGCUCUCAUUUAGCAUUAAGGCAAAAUGUAUUACUACCCUAACAGUCUACGCGUAUGAAUGGUCCUCCUUUAGCCUUGACGGCUUGUAGAAACUGGACUGUGAAUCACACUAGAAUCUCUUUAACCAUGUUGGCCUUAAUUCAAGUCUUCCAAACCCUUAUCUCUCUUUGUCAUAACCUCCCUCCUCAUUAUUUCAAUCGUCUUAGUUGAGUCUACCAUAGCAGAAUAGAAGGCAAACCUUUGAGUGGCAAUAACACGAAACAAUAGCUCAAUCUAUCUUUUAACAAAUCUUUUGAUUUGCUUUCUUUGGUAAGGACCGAGUAUGGAGCAUAUCAAGAUAAUUCGGUGAACCAAACAUCAUACUCUAUCACUAGCAUGCCUAGGGUUUGAACCAUUGUCUUAAACUCUUAUGCCUUUGCAUGUUUUACUUACUCAGGCAAAAACAGGUCUAAGAAAACUUAGGUAAACUCUUAUCAAGUAAUUGAAGUUGAACCUUGUCACAACCCAAAACCCGAGCCAUGACCGACGCAUGGGCCUAAUGGGCACAGCCCACUAAGCUUAAGCAAGCCUCUUUAUGAAAUCCUAUUCAUCAUUUCAUUACGUCACCAUUCCUAAACCACAAAUCUUGAUUUUCAACUAUGCGUAUUUCAGUAACAUACAUGGAAACUAAUAUUUAUAUUUGUAUUAACCCAAAAUAUUGUCAUUCAUUCAUUGCUAUCUCAUAAUGGCGUCAUCAAUCCAAAUAUACAUCUAUUGUUUGUAACCUAAAUCUUAUUUACAUCGAGUAUAUAUAUAUACAUACAAAAGACUUUUGACGACCAGCGGAGCGACCUUGGGUGAUGAUACUAUUACUGAAUGCCAAAAUACCUACCAAAGGGUGAACGCACAUGAAUGCCUCAAUUUAGGUCCCAACUGCCCUUGAGUUUGAAAACAUGAAGUUUAAAAGAGUGAGUACAAUCCCAAUGAGUGAACAUAAGAAGGGAACAAGUAAACGAUAAGGAAAAUUUUAUAAAACAUGAUGCACUUAUAGUAAAAACAACGCAAUUUAGUUUAAAUUCUAGUUAAAACCCCUCAUUUCAAACUUUGAUUAUUUAAUCCUUUAGUGUUGAAGGAUCCAUGAUCAACCAUGAAGUCGGAAAGAGUGAGAACUAUAGCAUAAUCCAAGCAAGACGAGCAUAACAACAUAACAGAGGGUUUCUCGCUGUAGCGAAAUUCGGACAAAGAAAAUUUUAGACCUCUUAAGAGUUUUUCGCUGCAGCGAGAAUGCAUUCACAUUGCAGCAAAAUUCAAAGCACAAAUUAAGUGAAUCACCUGAGAGUUUCUCAUUGCAACAAGAAUUAGGGCUGAUGAAAUUAGGGGGGGUUUUGCUACAUUGAAAAUUCGUCCUAUUGCAACGAAAAUCAAUUUGAAAUUAGUUAACAAUUUUCAAUACUCAACAUUUAAUACAAUCACAUCUUAUUUCUUUAUACUUUCUAUAGCAUAUAUAUUCAGUGUUAUAGUAUGCAUGAUCAUAUCUAUAGCAUAUAUAUAUAUAUAUAUAAGCAUAUAUACACCCACUAGUCAUUAACUCAUGUGCACUCCCACACCGCACAACAAACAUAUAUACAACCAUCGGUCAUCAGCUCAUGUGCACUCCCACACUGAACAUAGUUGGAAUCACACCACGUCAUCACCAGCAUGUGCCCUCCCACAUCAUACACACUCAGUUAUAAUUACCACACAAUAUUACUUAUCAAUACAUAUCAUAUAUCGAUAUAUAUUAUAAAUAUCAACAUAACAUAGGCGCACAUGGAUUCAUCCCAGUCAUAUUCCACAACGCAAAAACAUUUCAUCAAGGGCUUGUUCCCAUGCAUAUUUUAGAGAAAAGAUCAAUCAAAUAAAUCAAGUGAUUCAAUCAAGCUUGUAUGUACUUAUCCCAAAACAUUUUAAUGCGAGUUCACUCACCGUUUUUGUUAAUGCUUUGAUCGACUCUAACUGCGUCUAAUACUCUAGAUGGAGAUGUGGGGCUUCGUUGCAACCUAUCACACACCAUAGCAUCACACCAACCUAAAUUGGCAUUAAUAAAAUUCUAAAAGCCAUUUCCUAAAUCAAGUUCUACUAGUUAUUCUUAACUAGCUUCCAAUUACCAUUAAAUGGCUAUUUAUUUUGUAAAACCUGACCUUAUAAAAUACUCGUCAUGAUAUACAAGUGAUGAUAGCAUGAUUGCAUGCUAGGAGAGUGCCGAAAAAUUUACAAAAGUCGGUAUUGUACCUAGAGGUACAACAAAGUUGAUUUAAUCCUCAAACUAGAUCAAAUAGGAAUUUUAAGGUGAGAUUAAGAGCUUCACAGUCCAUGGAUGACUCAAAAUGGUAAUUCGGAGUUUGAGGAUAAAUUUGGAGUCAAACCGGAAUUUUCACUAUCUAGAGGCAAAAUGAUCAUUUGCCACCUUGGGACAAAGUGGGAAUUUUAGAAAAGAUUUUUUUGGCCCCAUUUGACUUAUUGGAGUAUGAUUUGAGGUUUAGAAGCGAAAAAUUUUAAUUUCGGUAUAAUUUGAAGUAUAGGGGUAAAAUGGUAAUUUUGCCACCUUAGAGGCAAAAUUAUAAUUUUCCACCACCAGGACAUUUAUCCAGCAUAUGGUCUUCCUUUAUCCUCAUUUUUUACCUUUGACUAAUCAUGUGGUGGAGAUAAAAAGUUUAAAUUUUUAAAGUUUUAAAAAUGGACCAAUAAGAAAAUGCCAUGUGUCAAGCUUAGGAUAUUUUAUUAUUUAACUUAAAAAUCAGCAUAAAUCAGCCCAUUACCCUCCAAAUAUUCGGCCAAGCAAGGAAGAGAGGGAAAGAAAGGAAGAACAAACCCUAGGUGUGGAAUUUCAAAAGAAAAAGUGUGGAAAAUCAAGGAAAACAAGUGAAAAAUGUAGGAUUUUUCGACUUAAGCUUGAAAUCUAUUUUCCUUAAGCAUUUCUCCUCAUUUUCCAUGCUUAAAUUACAUGUUUUUAUGAUGAAUUGUUGGCUGAUCAAAAUGGGUAUGGAGAGAGAAUGAAGUUAGAUUAAUUUGAUUUUAAGUUAUGUUAGUGUUUUUAGUUAGUUUAGCAUAUUUAGAAACAAAACAACAAGAAAAGAAUUCAUUUUCCUCCAUUACCAUUAUUGGACGAAUUUUGUAAGGGCAUAUUGGCUGCUGAUCUUGAUGUUUAUUUGACGAAUUAUGAUGAAUAAUGAUGAAUUAUGAGCCUAGAAACAUAAUGGGAAUUUUCAGAGCAAAAAUACGAAUUUUUACCCACUAGGGGUAUUUUCGUAAUUUGUUAUCGGGACUGAUAAUUUGCACCACACUAAAGGACAUUAAGUCAAUUUGGGUGCAAUUAAGGUAUAGAAACUUAAACAAAUUAAUUUGGAGUUUAAACGGACGCGUAUAUCAAUUUAUCGGGUAAAAGACCGAAAUAGGCUAACACCACGUUUAGGUAAAAUUUAGACAUUUUUGCAUUCCAUAUCAUGCAUUAGUAGUCUAAAUUAGUUUAAUUUCAAUUUAGUACCAAUGUAGUGAGUUUCUCAAUUUUGUACUGUGUCAAGGUGGCGAGUCCUCCAACAAAAGUAAGGGAAUUGCAUCCGAGGACCAGUAGUCUGAGUAUUUCGAGAAUCGGCACUCUAAACAUUGUGAGUAAACUUAUUAUCAUUUUAAUUAUCUAGGGUGAUUUUUAGAUGAUUUCAUUAAUUCUAUGGAAAAAUGGAAUUAAAAAGGUAAAUUUUCAUGUUUUAUGAAUAAAGGUGUUUUAAUGAAAUUAAUUUAUAAAUUGUUUUGAAAUUAAUAGUGAUUUUGAAAAAAAUAGAGUACACAGAGACUGUUAAUUGUGGCAAUUUGAUUGUUUAAAUUGAUUGGCUUAUGAUAAAUCGGGCAUGAUUGGCUAGUUGGCAAUUGUAUUGAAAUACGAAUUGUUUGGUUGCCUUGAAAGACUGCGAAUUACAAAAUGGCCAUAUCAUGUUAUUGAGUUUUAUUAUAUGGUGGAUUAUAUAUUAAUUAAUCACUGCAAUAGGGGGUUUCUGUAGAUCAGCCUUUUAGAGGGGCACAGUAAACCCCAUUAUAUUCUUACCUCGAACGGAGAGGCGCAUAAGGUAUCUAUUGGGGUAAAGCUUAGGGUUCACUUCACGCCAAACUACCACAUGAGGGGGAACUCAGCCAACGCCAAGGAACGGCUAUGUUUUCAAAACAAAAACAUGAUUUAUAUGAAAUGUGAAUUUUAAUAGCCUUGGCGGUCUUGGUAGGAUGCCUUGGCCAAGGUGUCCUUGAGAAUGAAUUUAUGGCACAAGCCUAGUUUUUAUGAAAUUCAUAAGCCUCUUCACGUAUUUUAAAUAAAAUGUAUUCUAAUGCUGUGAUCCAGUUUACGAUGAUUUACUUUAUUAUCUUCAUGUACUCAACUCUAGAUGUUUAUAAUGAUAUCUAUUUACUCAUUGGGAUUUUAUAAUCUCACUACCCUCCUUUUCACCCAUUUCAGGUUCAGUAUAUACUGUAGAUAGCUGAUCUCAUCGAGGACUACCGUUGGAUCUGCAUUUGCCAAACUGUAGCUUCACAGUCCUCUUUACUUUUGUUUAUUCGGGGGCCCUUUUGUUAUUGAAAAUUAAAUUAAAUAUUUUGACUUACUGUAUUACAGUAUGUAUAAAUUUAUUUAGCUUUUACGCUACAAAAAUUAUUUACAUAUAACUCUAUAAAUAUUGGUUUAUAAGAAAAUAAAAUAUUUUACUUAAUAUUUCUUUUAUUUUCUUAUUAUAUUCAAAUAACCAUAAUUUCGUUUUAAAUGAAGAUUUUAGUCUUUUAAACUCAUUUUGAAUAUGAAUUAUGUGUUUUGUACUUGUAUAUUAUAUUUUAGCUAGUAUCGAAAUUUUUGAAAAAAAUGAUCAAAAUACCUCUGUGAGACAAAAAAAAUUAAUAUUUUAUUUGUUUUAAGUUGGAAACAGCUUAAAAUCUUUUAAAACACGAUAUUUGAUAAAUGGUUGCUCACAAGGGAAAUGAGAAACUGAUAGUAAAGCCUUGCGGGGUUUCGGGUUGACAUUCUGAGCAAUGAGUGUCUAUUGGGACACCGCGACGGUUGUCACGGGCUCGAGGGGAGUACCGGGUCGUGACAAUUCGAUUGCUAUUAGAGCUUUUGGUUUUAAAGAUCAAAGUUUUUAGUUUUAAAGUGGUUUUAAAAAUUUACAAUAUCAGUGUGGCUUUGGAUUAAGUUAGGUUAGGUUGAAUAGAAUGCAUGCAUUUGCAUAUAGAGCCUAAGGUUGCCUAAACUUGCUCGUAUUCUUUUAUAGAUUAUAAUGCCUCAUCGACGCGGAUGCCCACCUUUCACUAGAUAGGUUGGGAGGGGAAGAGGUCGUUCCCAACGUCGUCAGCUAAAUGCAGUAGAGGAGGAAUCGGCUACAUCUACCAUUCGGGCAUCACCUGCUACUGCUGCAGCACCGGCUCCUCCACAUCCUCCGCCACCUACUAGUACUCCUACCAUGUCUCCUGAGGCAGUCCAAGCAUUGGCAGCUUUCUUUAUCGCUAUUGCUGGCCAAGCUCAAGCUGGUCAAGCCCUUCAUAUAGUACCACCAGUUGCUCCUUCAGUACCACCACCCCCACCUCCUAUUCCACCACCAGUGUCGAAUGUCUCUAUUGCUAAGAAGUGGAAGGAAGCUAGGCAACUUGGUUGUGUUUCUUUUACGAGUGAGUUGGAUCCAACCGUAGCCAAAGAUUGGAUUAAUCAGGUUUCGGAGACGUUCUCUGAUAUGAGGUUGGAUGAUGACUUGAAAUUGAUGGUGGCCAUGAGAUUACUAGAGAAGAGAGCUCGUACAUGGUGGAAUUCAGUAAAAUCUCGUUCCACUACUCCUCCGACCUGGUCAAACUUCUUAAGAGAAUUUGAUGGUCAGUAUUUCACUUAUUUUCAUCAGAAAGAAAAGAAAAGAGCAUUUCUGAGUUUGAACAAGGGAAUUUGACUGUAAAGGAGUACGAAGCUCAUUUUAACGAGCUGAUGUUAUAUGUGCCAGAUCUAGUGAAAUUUGAGUAGGAUCAGGUCAAUUAUUUCGAGGAAGGGCUCCGUAAUGAGAUUAGAGAGCGGAUAAUAGUGACUAGUAAAGAGCCACAUAAGGAGGUCGUAUAGAUGGCUUUACGGGCUGAGAAGCUUGCGAUUGUGAAUAGAAAGAUUUAAAUCGAGUUUGCAAAAAGGAUAAAUCUAAGUGUAUCUUCCAGUCAGCCACCAAAAAGGGGCGAAGACUCAUCUGCUUCAAGGAGUACUACCUCUAUUUUAGUGACAUCUCCUCAACCUCCAUUUUCAUAGACACAGCAGAGGCCUUAGAGAUUCAGCAGAUCUGCAAUGACUAUUUCUUGGAAGAGCUCCAAAGGUUCUGAUAGAUGCAGAAGAUGUGGGAAGAAUCAUGUUGGGCCGUGUAGGGGACCAGUACGAUGUUAUCAUUGUGAUCAGCCGGGCCACAUUAAGAGUGAGUGCCCACAGCUAAGACGGGCUAUUGCAACUGCUCCAUCUCCAUCAGCUCGUACAGAUAUACAGAGGAGAGAUCCUUUUAGGUUACCACCGAGGUAGGGAGUGGCUAUACAGUCUGGUGUAGAGAGUAACACCUCGGCAUAUCCACCUUCGAGACCACAGACUCGUACUUCGACAAGAGUUUUUGCUGUGACGAAAGAUGAGGCGCGGGUCCAACUUGGAGCAGUGACAAGUAACAUGUCUUUAUUUGAUAAAGAUGCUUAUGUUUUGAUAGAUUCUGGCUCAUAUAGGUCUUAUGUGAGUAUGGCAUUUGCAUCAAUUGCUGAUAGAAACCUAUCACCAUUAAAGGAAGAAAUUGUAGUUCACAUCCCUUUAGGUGAAAAGCUAGUUAGAAACAAUUGUUAUAGAGAUUGUGGAGUAAUGGUUGGUGAGGAAGAAUUUAUGGGUGACUUGAUUCCUCUAGAGAUCCAAGAUUUUGAUUUGAUAUUGGGUAUGGACUGGUUAACUGCACAUCAGGCGAAUGUGGAUUGUUUUAGAAAAUAAGUUGUUCUUCAUAAUUCGAAGGGAGCAGAGAUUAUUUUUGCAGGGAAACGUUGAGUAUUACCGUCUUGUGUAAUCUCGGCCAUCAAAGCUUCGAAAUUGGUGCAGAAAGAGUAUCCAGCAUAUUUAGCACAUGUGAUCGAUACUUCAAAAGGGGAACCUAAAUUAGAGGAUGUCCCAAUAGUUAGUGAGUUUCCUGAUGUAUUUCCUGAUGAAUUACCGGGACUACCUCCUGAUUGAGAGCUCGAGUUCCCUAUUGAUUUACUUAUGGGUACCGCACCUAUUUCUAUUCCUCCAUAUAGAAUGGCUCUAACAGUGUUGAAGGAACUGAAAGUCUAGUUGCAAGAUUUGGUGGAUAAAGGUUUCAUUCGCCCUAGCAUUUCCCCUUAGGGAGCACCAGUCCUAUUUGUAAAGAAGAAGGAUGGCACUCUUCGAUUAUGUAUCGAUUACCCUUUACCCCGGAUAGAUGAUCUUUUUGAUCAAUUACGAGAUGCUAUGGUGUUUUCAAAGAUUGAUUUGAGGUCUGGGUAUUAUCAGUUGAAGAUUAAGGAGCAGGAUGUACCCAAGACUGUCUUUAGGACGUGUUAUGGGCAUUAUGAGUUUCUGGUGAUGCCGUUUGGUUUGACUAAUGCCUCGACAGUUUUUAUGGAUCUUAUGAACAGGGUGUUCCAUCCAUACUUGGAUAAGUUUGUGAUAGUGUUCAUAGAUGACAUCCUGGUUUAUUCGAAGAAUGAUGAUGAACAUGCUGCCCAUUUGCGCAUUGUGUUGCAAACUUUGUGUGAGAGACAACUCUAUGCUAAGUUUUCUAAAUGUGAGUUCUGGUUAAAGGAAGUGGUUUUCUUGGGACAUGUGGUGUCCGGAGCUAGAAUUUAUGUCGAUCCCAAGAAGAUCGAGGCAUUCUUACAAUGGGAGCAACCAAGAACGGUAGCAAAUAUUCGUAGUUUUCUUGGCUUAGCCAAUUAUUAUCGGAGAUUUGUUCGGGGAUUUUCAUUGAUAGCAGCUCUUUUGACUCGUUUGACUCGUAAAGGAGUUAAGUUUGAGUGGGAUGAUGUUUGUGAGAAUCGAUUUUAAGAGCUAAAGAACCGGUUAACCUCCGCUCCCGUUUUAACACUUCCUGUUAAUGGAAAAGAAUUUGUGGUACACUGUGAUGCAUCUAAGUUAGGAUUAGGGUGUGUGUUGAUGCAGGAUGAGAAGGUGAUAGCUUAUGCUUCCCUGCAGUUGAAGAAGCACGAGACAAAUUACCCUACUCAUGACUUAGAGUUAGCAGUAGUAGUCUUCGCAUUGAAGAUUUGGAGACAUUAUUUAUAUGGUGAGGGUUGUCAGAUUUUUACUGAUCAUAAAAGCUUGAAAUAAUUGCUCACCCAGAAAGAGCUUAAUUUGAGACAGAGACGAUGGUUGAAGUUGAUUAAGGAUUAUGACUUGGUGAUUAAUUAUCAUCCGGGAAAGGCAAAUGUUGUGGCAGAUGCUUUAAGUUGUAAAUCCUCAUCUUCAUUAGCAGUACUUCAGAGUUCUUAUUUUUCGAUAUUACUUGAGAUGAAAUCUCUAGGGAUCCAGUUGAAUAAUGGUGAGGAUGGAACCCUACUUGCUAGUUUUGUUGUGAGACCUUCAUUAUUGAAUCAAAUCAGAGAAUUGCAGAAAUCUGAUGAUUUGUUGAAACGGGAAGUUCAAAAGCUGCAAGAUGGAUAAACUAGUGAGUUUAGACUCAACGAUGAUGGUACUUUGAUGCUUAGAGAUCGAAUUUGUGUCCCUAAGGAUGAUCAAUUGAAACGAGCUAUUCUGGAGGAAGCUCAUUCUUCCGCCUACGCUUUACAUCCCGGAAGCACCAAGAUGUAUCGGACUAUUAAAGAAAGUUAUUCGUGGCCGGGUAUGAAAUGAGACAUAGCAGAGUUUGUAGUGAAAUGUCUCACAUGCCAACAGAUCAAGGCGGAGCAUCAAAAUUUGUCAGGUACUCUUCAGCCUUUACCGAUUCCUGAAUGGAAGUGGGAACAUGUGACUAUGGACUUUGUAUUGGGUUUGCCGCGAACACAAAGUGGGAAGGAUGCUAUUUGGGUGAUUGUGGAUAGAUUGACUAAGUCCGCCCAUUUCUUGGCUAUCCAUAGCAUGUAUUCUAUUGAGAGGCUGGCAAGACUUUAUAUAGAUGAGGUUGUGAGAUUACAUGGAGUUCCAGUUUCUAUUGUGUCAGAUCGAGACCCUCGGUUUACUUCUUGAUUUUGGUCGAAAUUUCAGGAAGCUCUUGGAACUAAAUUGAGAUUUAGUACUGCCUUUCAUCCGCAGACAAAUGGUCAAUCUGAGAGAACUAUUCAGACCUUUGAGGAUAUAUUACGAGCUUGUGUCAUUGACUUUGUUGGGAGUUGGGACAGACACUUGCCAUUAGUAGAGUUCGCGUAUAAUAAAAAUUUUCAGUCUAGUAUUGGGAUGGCACCAUACGAGGCUUUGUAUGGAAGGAAGUGCCGAACUCCACUCUGUUGGGAUGAAGUAGGUGAGAGGAAAUUGGUGAAUGUGGAAUUGAUUGAUCUGACAAAUGAUAAGGUCAAGGUUAUCCGAGAGCGGUUAAAAACAGCUCAAGAUAGGCAGAAGAAUUAUUUUGAUAGAUGAAGGAAAGAUUUGGAGUUUGAAGUUGACGAUAAAGUUUUUCUUAAGGUUUCUCCUUGGAAAGGUAAUAAUUUAAAAAUUUUGAAGUAUUAAAUCUUAUUUGAUUAAACUGUUGUGAUAAUUUAUGGUAUUUAUUGGAUAAUGGAAGGUGUAAUUCGAUUCGCGAAAAGGGGAAAGCUUAAUUUGAGAUACAUUGGACCUUUUCGUAUUAUUGAAAGGAUUGGGCCAGUGGCUUACAGACUUGAAUUACCCCCGGAGUUAGAUCGGAUUCAUAAUGUCUUCCAUGUCUCGAUGUUGAAAAAGUAUGUUCCCGAUCCUUCCCAUAUUCUAGAGACACCUCCAAUUGAGUUGCAUGAAGAUUUGAAGUUCGAGGUGCAGCCGGUACGUAUUCUAGAUUGAAAGGAUCGAGUGAUGAGGAACAAGAGCAUUCCAAUGGUGAAAGUAUUGUGGAAAAAUGCUCGAAUGGAAGAAAUGACGUGGGAAGUCGAGCACCAGAUGAGGAACCAAUAUCCACAUCUUUUCUUGGAAUCCGGUAAGUGAAAUUUUGAGGUCAAAAUUUUAUUUUAAGGGGGGUAAUGUUGUAAAGCCUGACCUUAUAAAAUACUCGUCAUGACAUACAUGUGAUGAUAGCAUGAUUGCAUGCUAAGAGAGUCCCGAAAAAUUCACAAAAGUCAGUAUUGUACCUAGAGGUANNNNNNNNNNNNNNNNNNNNNNNNNNNNNNNNNNNNNNNNNNNNNNNNNNNNNNNNNNNNNNNNNNNNNNNNNNNNNNNNNNNNNNNNNNNNNNNNNNNNNNNNNNNNNNNNNNNNNNNNNNNNNNNNNNNNNNNNNNNNNNNNNNNNNNNNNNNNNNNNNNNNNNNNNNNNNNNNNNNNNNNNNNNNNNNNNNNNNNNNNNNNNNNNNNNNNNNNNNNNNNNNNNNNNNNNNNNNNNNNNNNNNNNNNNNNNNNNNNNNNNNNNNNNNNNNNNNNNNNNNNNNNNNNNNNNNNNNNNNNNNNNNNNNNNNNNNNNNNNNNNNNNNNNNNNNNNNNNNNNNNNNNNNNNNNNNNNNNNNNNNNNNNNNNNNNNNNNNNNNNNNNNNNNNNNNNNNNNNNNNNNNNNNNNNNNNNNNNNNNNNNNNNNNNNNNNNNNNNNNNNNNNNNNNNNNNNNNNNNNNNNNNNNNNNNNNNNNNNNNNNNNNNNNNNNNNNNNNNNNNNNNNNNNNNNNNNNNNNNNNNNNNNNNNNNNNNNNNNNNNNNNNNNNNNNNNNNNNNNNNNNNNNNNNNNNNNNNNNNNNNNNNNNNNNNNNNNNNNNNNNNNNNNNNNGUGAGGAAUUUCAAGAGAAAAAGUGUGGAAAAUCAAGGAAAACAAGUGAAAAAUGUGAGAUUUUUCAACUUAAGCUUGAAAUCUAUUUUCCUUAAGCAUUUCUCCUUAUUUUCCAUGCUUAAAUUACAUGUUUUUAUGAUGAAUUAUUGGCUGAUCAAAAUGGGUAUGGAGAGAGAGAGAAUGAAGUUAGAUUAAUUUGAUUUUAAGUUAUGUUAGUGUUUUUAGUUAGUUUAGCAUAUUUAUAAACAAAACAACAAGAAAAGAAUUCAUUUUCCUCCAUUACCAUUAUUGGCCGAAUUUUGUAGGGGCAUAUUGGCUGCUGAUCUUGAUGUUUAUUUGACGAAUUAUGAUGAAUAAUGAUGAAUUAUGAGCCUAGAAACAUAAUGGGAAUUUUCGGAGCAAAAAUACGAAUUUUUACCCCCUAGCGGUAUUUUCGUAAUUUGUUAUCGAGACUGAUAAUUUGCACCACACUGAGGAACAUUAAGUCAAUUUGGGUGCAAUUGAGGUAUAGAAACUGAAAAAAAUUAAUUUGGAGUUUAAACGGACGCGUAUAUCGAUUUAUUGGGUAAAAGACCGAAAUAGGCUAACACCACGUUUAGGCAAAAUUUAGAUAUUUUUGCAUUCCAUAUCAUGCAUUAGUAGUCUAAAUUAGUUUAAUUUCAAUAUAGUACCAAUGUAGUGAGUUUCUCAAUUUUGUACUGUGUCAAGGUGGCCAGUCCUCCGAUAAAGGUAAGGGAAUUGCAUCCGAGGACAAGUAGUUUGAGUAUUUCGAGAAUCGGCACUCUAAACAUUAUGAGUAAACUUAUUAUCAUUUUAAUUAUCUAGGGUAAUUUUUAGAUGAUUUCAUUAAUUCUAUGAAAAAAUAGAUUUAAAAUGGUAAAUUUUCAUGUUUUAUGAAUAAAGGUGUUUUAAUGAAAUUAAUUUAUAAAUUGUUUUGAAAUUAAUAGUGAUUUUGAAAAAAAUAGAGUAUACGGAGACUGUUAAUUGUGGCAAUUUGAUUGUUUAAAUUGAUUGGUUUAUGAUAAAUCGGGCAUGAUUGGCUAGUUGACAAUUGUAUUAAAAUACGAAUUGUUUGGUUGCCUUGAAAGACUGCGAAUUACAAAAUGGCCAUAUCAUGUUAUUGAGUUUUAUUGUAUGGUAGAUUAUAUAUUAAUUAAUCACUGCAGUAGGAGGUUUCUGUGGACCAACCUUUUAGAGGGGCACAGUAAAGCCCAUUAUAUUCUUACCUCGAACGGAGAGGCGCAUAGGGUAUCUCCUGGGGUAAAGCUUAGGGUUCACUUCACGUCAAACCACCACGUGAGUGGGAACUCAACCAACGCCAGGGAACGACUAUGUUUUCAAAACAAAAAUAUAAUUUAUAUGAAAUGUGAAUUUUAAUAGCCUUGGUAGUCUUGGUAGGAUGCCUCAGCCAAGGUGUCCUUGAGAAUGGAUUUAUGGCACAAGCCUAGUUUUUAUGAAAUUCAUAAGCCUCUUCACGUAUUUUAAAUAAAAUGUAUUCUAAUGCUGUGACCCAAUUUACGAUGAUUUACUUUAUUGUCUCCAUGUACUCAACUCUAGAUGUUUAUGAUGAUGUCUGUUUACUCAUUGAGAUUUUAUAAUCUCACCACCCUCCUUUUCACCCAUUUCAGGUUCAGUAUAGACUGUAG
Molecule: long non-coding RNA, 34853 nt
Filed under: Theobroma cacao (cacao)
Lineage: Eukaryota; Viridiplantae; Streptophyta; Magnoliopsida; Malvales; Malvaceae
Description: long non-coding RNA (TCAC_LNC004489)
Source: RNAcentral